GAAAAAUUGAUCAAACAAUAUAGGCAUAAAUUUUUCCUUUCAAUGAACUAAUAGCAAUUAGCAUCAUAACAAUUCUAACUCGUGUGUGUGUGUGUGUGUGUGUGUGUGUGUGUGUGUAUGUAUUUAUUUAUUUUUCCUUUCCUUUCUUUCUUUAGAGGCUCCGGUAGAAGAAACUAUAGCUAGAACUUCUUGUUAUGAAAGUUUCGUCCAGCAGGGGACAACACACACAGCACUGUGAAUAGCCCGUCAGAAUAAUCAACCAAGAGAAACACAGCUAGUGAUCAGAUUGGUACCUAAACAGGUAGUGCUGGUCUAAGAAAUCCCACAGUUGUGGCUAUAUUCUGUUUGAGGAGCUUUUUCUUAAAUCAGGAGCAUUCGAUGGCACUUGCUGUUUUCACAGUGGAAAGAAAUAACUUUAAAAGGAAACUUGAAGUAUAUUGUAACAAGGAGGUUCAUGUCAAACUAACAUGAGGUCAUCAGUCAAAUGAUAAUUUGGUAAGAAAACACUCAUGUGAUGUGUAUGCUAGGUAUGUGCUACUUCAUUUAAAGAUGCUUUGUUUGACUAAAAGAGCUAU
Molecule: long non-coding RNA, 575 nt
Filed under: Chinchilla lanigera (long-tailed chinchilla)
Lineage: Eukaryota; Metazoa; Chordata; Mammalia; Rodentia; Chinchillidae
Description: lncRNA (ENSCLAG00000024257.1)
Source: RNAcentral